GACGAACGCUGGCGGCGUGCUUAACACAUGCAAGUCGAACGGAAAGGCCCCAGCUUGCUGGAGUACUCGAGUGGCGAACGGGUGAGUAACACGUGGGUGAUCUGCCCUGCACUUCGGGAUAAGCCUGGGAAACUGGGUCUAAUACCGGAUAGGACCGCCCUCUGGUGUGUGUGGUGGGAAGGUUUUUGUGGUGUGGGAUGGGCUCGCGGCCUAUCCGUCUGUUGGUGGGGUAAUGGCCUAGCAAGACGGCGACGGGGUCCGGGCUGGGGGGGUGGACGGUCACAUUGGGACUGAGAUACGGCCCAGACUCCUACGGGAGGCAGCAGUGGGGAAUAUUGCACCAUGGGGGAAACCCUGAUGCAGCGACGCCGCGUGGGGGAUGAAGGCCUUCGGGUUGGAAACUCCUUUCGCUAGGGACGAAGCUUUUUGUGACGGUACCUGGAGAAGAAGCACCGGCUAACUACGUG
This 467-nucleotide ribosomal RNA is filed under the name uncultured bacterium. RNAcentral describes it as "partial 16S ribosomal RNA". It matches the Rfam family "Bacterial small subunit ribosomal RNA", at positions 28 to 507 of the family's 1533-position model. The record is from RNAcentral.